UAGCUCAGUUGGUAAAGAAUCUGCCUGCAAUGCAGGAGAUCCUGGUUCAAUUCCUGG
Transfer RNA from Ovis aries (sheep), 57 nucleotides. It matches the Rfam family "tRNA", at positions 8 to 63 of the family's 71-position model. Rfam says of the family: Transfer RNA (tRNA) molecules are approximately 80 nucleotides in length. Their secondary structure includes four short double-helical elements and three loops (D, anti-codon, and T loops). Further hydrogen bonds mediate the characteristic L-shaped molecular structure. tRNAs have two regions of fundamental functional importance: the anti-codon, which is responsible for specific mRNA codon recognition, and the 3' end, to which the tRNAs corresponding amino acid is attached (by aminoacyl-tRNA synthetases). tRNAs cope with the degeneracy of the genetic code in two manners: having more than one tRNA (with a specific anti-codon) for a particular amino acid; and 'wobble' base-pairing, i.e. permitting non-standard base-pairing at the 3rd anti-codon position. The record is from Rfam. NCBI's taxonomy places the organism in Eukaryota, Metazoa, Chordata, Mammalia, Artiodactyla, Bovidae.